GACGAACGCUGGCGGCGUGCCUAAUACAUGCAAGUAGAACGCACAGUUUAUACCGUAGCUUGCUCCACCAUAGACUGUGAGUUGCGAACGGGUGAGUAACGCGUAGGUAACCUGCCUGGUAGCGGGGGAUAACUAUUGGAAACGAUAGCUAAUACCGCAUAAUAUUGAUUAUUGCAUGAUAAUUGAUUGAAAGAUGCUAUUGCAUCACUACCAGAUGGACCUGCGUUGUAUUAGCUAGUAGGUGAGGUAACGGCUCACCUAAGCGACGAUACAUAGCCGACCUGAGAGGGUGAUCGGCCACACUGGGACUGAGACACGGCCCAGACUCCUACGGGAGGCAGCAGUAGGGAAUCUUCGGCAAUGGACGAAAGUCUGACCGAGCAACGCCGCGUGAGUGAAGAAGGUUUUCGGAUCGUAAAGCUCUGUUGUAAGAGAAGAACGGGUGUGAGAGUGGAAAGUUCACACUGUGACGGUAUCUUACCAGAAAGGGACGGCUAACUACGUG
Molecule: ribosomal RNA, 505 nt
Filed under: uncultured bacterium
Lineage: Bacteria
Description: partial 16S ribosomal RNA
Rfam family: Bacterial small subunit ribosomal RNA
Source: RNAcentral